RNAcentral lists this ribosomal RNA (301 nucleotides) under Escherichia coli. RNAcentral describes it as "partial 23S ribosomal RNA". It matches the Rfam family "Bacterial large subunit ribosomal RNA", at positions 2048 to 2348 of the family's 2925-position model. The record is from RNAcentral. Lineage: Bacteria; Pseudomonadati; Pseudomonadota; Gammaproteobacteria; Enterobacterales; Enterobacteriaceae.
UCGCUGUGAAGAUGCAGUGUACCCGCGGCAAGACGGAAAGACCCCGUGAACCUUUACUAUAGCUUGACACUGAACAUUGAGCCUUGAUGUGUAGGAUAGGUGGGAGGCUUGGAAGUGUGGACGCCAGUCUGCAUGGAGCCGACCUUGAAAUACCACCCUUUAAUGUUUGAUGUUCUAACGUUGACCCGUGAUCCGGGUUGCGGACAGUGUCUGGUGGGUAGUUUGACUGGGGCGGUCUCCUCCUAAAGAGUAACGGAGGAGCACGAAGGUUGGCUAAUCCUGGUCGGACAUCAGGAGGUUA